GAUGAACGCUGGCUACAGGCUUAACACAUGCAAGUCGAGGGGAAACGACGGGGAAGCUUGCUUCCCCGGGCGUCGACCGGCGCACGGGUGAGUAACGCGUAUCCAACCUGCCUCUGACUGAGGGAUAACCCGUCGAAAGUCGGCCUAAUACCUCAUGGUAUCGUCUGCGGGCAUCCAACGACGAUUAAAGAUUUCAUCGGUCAGGGAUGGGGAUGCGUCUGAUUAGCUUGUUGGCGGGGUAACGGCCCACCAAGGCUACGAUCAGUAGGGGUUCUGAGAGGAAGGUCCCCCACAUUGGAACUGAGACACGGUCCAAACUCCUACGGGAGGCAGCAGUGAGGAAUAUUGGCCAAUGGGCGAGAGCCUGAACCAGCCAAGUAGCGUGCAGGAAGACGGCCCUAUGGGUGGUAAACUGCUUUUAUGCGGGGAUAAAGUGAGGGACGGGUCCCUCAUUGCAGGUACCGCAUGAAUAAGGACCGGCUAAUUCCGUG
Molecule: ribosomal RNA, 491 nt
Filed under: uncultured bacterium
Lineage: Bacteria
Description: partial 16S ribosomal RNA
Rfam family: Bacterial small subunit ribosomal RNA
Source: RNAcentral